UUACUGGGCGUAAAGACGCAUGCAGGUGGUUUGUUUAAGUUACAGAUGUGAAAGACCCGGGGCGUCAACCUACGGAAUAGCAUUUGUAAACUAGGCAGACUAGAGUACUGUAGAGGGGGGUAGGAAUUUCUAGGUGUAGCGGUGAAAUAGCGUAGAGAUCUGAAGGAAUACCGGUGGCGAAGGCGGCCCCCCUCGGACAGAUACUGACACUCAGAUGCGAAAAGCGUGGGGAGCAAACAGGAUUAGAUACCCCUGGUAG
RNAcentral lists this ribosomal RNA (259 nucleotides) under uncultured bacterium. RNAcentral describes it as "partial 16S ribosomal RNA". It matches the Rfam family "Bacterial small subunit ribosomal RNA", at positions 551 to 793 of the family's 1533-position model. The record is from RNAcentral.